GAGUUUGAUCCUGGCUCAGGAUAAACGCUGGCGGCGUGCCUAAUACAUGCAAGUCGAGCGGCAGCAUUUAGUUGGCGAGCGGCGGACGGCAGAGUAACGCGUAGGAACGUACCCCAGACUGAGGGAUAAGCACCGGAAACGGUGUCUAAUACCGCAUAUUAUCUUCGGAUCAAAGCUUCGGCGGUUUGGGAGCGGCCUGCGUAUGAUUAGCUUGUUGGUGAGGUAAAAGCUCACCAAGGCGACGAUCAUUAGCUGGUCUGAGAGGAUGAUCAGCCUGACUGGGACUGAGACACGGCCCAGACUCCUACGGGAGGCAGCAGUAGGGAAUUUUCCGCAAUGGGCGAAAGCCUGACGGAGCAACGCCGCGUGCAGGAGGAAGGCCUUCGGGUUGUAAACUGCUUUUAUCUGUGACGAUUUUGACGGUAGCAGAAGAAUAAGGAUCGGCUAAUUCCGUGCCAGCCGCCGCGGUAAUAC
Molecule: ribosomal RNA, 474 nt
Filed under: uncultured bacterium
Lineage: Bacteria
Description: bacterial SSU rRNA
Rfam family: Bacterial small subunit ribosomal RNA
Source: RNAcentral